RNAcentral lists this long non-coding RNA (1205 nucleotides) under Homo sapiens (human). RNAcentral's name for it is "long non-coding RNA NONHSAT213438.1". The record is from RNAcentral. Lineage: Eukaryota; Metazoa; Chordata; Mammalia; Primates; Hominidae.
UGUGAGCGACUCACCAGGACAGUUUUAUUUCUGUGCUGAGCUUGCUGCUUCCUGCUGGGAAAAUGUUAGUGGCGGAGUCACACCCAGGUUCCCUGUGUCAUUGCAGGAGGCUGUACUGAUGCUCAUGUUUUGUUUCACAAGCUAAGUCCUUGACAGCAUCAGCUGGGAUCCCAGUCUUCUCUCUCAUGUUACCCAGUGAGAACUCACUCACAUAAAUGUCAGGGGAGAAUACUUGGCCUUCUGUUUCCUGGAUCACUGAAUAAAAUCCCCUAUGAUGAUCUGUGUGCGUAUUUGGCUUUGCUGUUUGGUUCCAGGAGUUUUAUUUCAAGGCAAAGCUUGUAUCUGAAGAUGCCAUGAGCUGAGAUUGUCUAGGACUGAGAAGCCCUAACUUCCCAAGGACACUAGUCCUGGAAAGAAGAAAGAGGCGGCAUUCUUCCUGAAUGUGAAAUGCACUCAGAAGGAACUGCUUGGUAUUUAAAAACUACUUCUCAUUCUAUCUUUAAAGCCAAAGAGAAAACACCGAGUUUACUAAUUGUUUAACUGCAAAGCUUGACUCUGGAAAUAAAAAAAGAAUGAGAGCAGAAGUGGAGACUUCAUAAAGAAAGUGAAUGGGGAUCAAAAAGGAUCCAGCUCCAGCUCCUGGAAGCUUACCCCACCCCACCAAAGAGAACCUGGAUGGAACCCUCUUUCAUCAGGAAUAAACUGGAGCCCAAGGAAAUGAAGGAAUCAGAUGGGGACCAAGUGACCUGUCCACACAAAAGCCAUCUGAUGAGUGCUUCUACUCCCUGCUCGCAGCCCACCUUCAGCUACACAGAUCUGCACGGCCCCUUGCUUCUGCCAUAUGGGAUCCAGCCUGACAGCAGCGAAUGAGUGCACAGAUUUCAAGUAGAGGAAAUCCCCAGGAAAUGGCAAGGGACAGUAUUAGGAAUCGACAAAGAAACAAAGUACAUUUGCUUUUGAAAAGCCAAGCCAUACGGACGACAAACAAUAUGAUGAAAGGUCACUCAGAACCCCACCCUAGAAGAAAGCCAGAAGUCCUGGUUCGGCCCAAGAGGUGGGAUGAAGAGUUUCACUAGAUCGUCUCCCUUUUGGCUGAUGUCACAGCAAAUAUUCAUCAGCCAUCAGCCAGACUGGAUAGCAGGCCAAAAACGUGGCCGUCUGGUCUCACGUUGGAAGUUCUGUUUUAAACUUUGUGACCUUGAUUC